AUGCCUAAAAUGACAGUAUAGCUAAUAAGUGCUAUGUUGUCAUUCCUCCCACUCAAAGCAAUAUUUCUUCUUAACUAUACCUGUCUGCUAGACACCUGUAGCAGCAAGGGAUGCUUGGUCCCAGGCAU
Molecule: small nucleolar RNA, 128 nt
Filed under: Nannospalax galili (Upper Galilee mountains blind mole rat)
Lineage: Eukaryota; Metazoa; Chordata; Mammalia; Rodentia; Spalacidae
Description: Small nucleolar RNA SNORA63 (ENSNGAG00000004628.1)
Source: RNAcentral